Molecule: ribosomal RNA, 595 nt
Filed under: fungal endophyte
Lineage: Eukaryota; Fungi
Description: eukaryotic LSU rRNA
Rfam family: 5.8S ribosomal RNA (bases 257-410)
Source: RNAcentral
UGGAUGUAAAAAGUCGUAACAAGGUCUCCGUUGGUGAACCAGCGGAGGGAUCAUUACCGAGUUUACAACUCCCAAACCCAAUGUGAACGUUACCAAACUGUUGCCUCGGCGGGAUCUCUGCCCCGGGUGCGUCGCAGCCCCGGACCAAGGCGCCCGCCGGAGGACCAACCAAAACUCUUAUUGUAUACCCCCUCGCGGGUUUUUUACUAUCUGAGCCAUCUCGGCGCCCCUCGUGGGCGUUUCGAAAAUGAAUCAAAACUUUCAACAACGGAUCUCUUGGUUCUGGCAUCGAUGAAGAACGCAGCGAAAUGCGAUAAGUAAUGUGAAUUGCAGAAUUCAGUGAAUCAUCGAAUCUUUGAACGCACAUUGCGCCCGCCAGUAUUCUGGCGGGCAUGCCUGUCCGAGCGUCAUUUCAACCCUCGAACCCCUCCGGGGGGUCGGCGUUGGGGAUCGGCCCUUUACGGGGCCGGCCCCGAAAUACAGUGGCGGUCUCGCCGCAGCCUCUCCUGCGCAGUAGUUUGCACACUCGCAUCGGGAGCGCGGCGCGUCCACAGCCGUUAAACACCCCAAACUUCUGAAAUGUGACCUCGAUCUG